UACGUAGGGGGCAAGCGUUGUUCGGAAUUACUGGGCGUAAAGGGCGCGUAGGCGGCACGACAAGUCGGGAGUGAAAGCCCGGGGCUCAACCCCGGAACGUCUCUCGAAACUGUCGAGCUAGAGUGCAGAAGAGGCAACUGGAAUUCCCAGUGUAGCGGUGAAAUGCGUAGAUAUUGGGAAGAACACCUGAGGCGAAGGCGGGUUGCUGGGCUGACACUGACGCUGAGGCGCGAAAGCCAGGGGAGCGAACGGG
RNAcentral lists this ribosomal RNA (253 nucleotides) under uncultured bacterium. RNAcentral describes it as "partial 16S ribosomal RNA". It matches the Rfam family "Bacterial small subunit ribosomal RNA", at positions 524 to 776 of the family's 1533-position model. The record is from RNAcentral.